UCCAGACUCCUACGGGAGGCAGCAGUGGGGAAUAUUGCACAAUGGGGGGAACCCUGAUGCAGCGACGCCGCGUGGGCGAGGAAGUAUUUCGGUAUGUAAAGCCCUAUCGGCAGGGAAGAAGAAAUGACGGUACCUGAAUAAGAAGCCCCGGCUAACUACGUGCCAGCAGCCGCGGGAAUACGUAGGGGGCAAGCGUUAUCCGGAUUUACUGGGGGUAAAGGGGGCGCAGACGGCAGCGCAAGCCAGGGGUGGAAGCCCGGGGCCCAACCCCGGGACUGCUCUUGGGACUGCGCGGCUGGAGUGCAGGAGGGGCAGGCGGAAUUCCUGGUGUAGCGGUGAGAUGCGUAGAUAUAAGGAGGAGCACCGGUGGCGGAGGCGGCCUGCUGGACUGCGACUGACGUUGAGGCCCGAAAGCGUGGGG
Molecule: ribosomal RNA, 421 nt
Filed under: uncultured bacterium
Lineage: Bacteria
Description: partial 16S ribosomal RNA
Rfam family: Bacterial small subunit ribosomal RNA
Source: RNAcentral